GCAAGUCGAACGAUGACUUUUUAACUUCGGUUUUUGAGUCGAGUGGCAAACGGGAGAGUAACACAUUGGUAACCUACCUUUAAGCCGAGCAUAGCUCACUGAAAAGUGAAUUAAUACUCGAUAGUCAUGAGGGGACGCAAGUCAUUCUCAUGUAAAACUCCGGUGCUUAGAGAGGGGCCUAUGUCUGAUUAGUUUGUUGGUGGGGUAAAGGCCUACCAAGACGAUGAUCAGUACCGGGCGUGAGAGCGUGACC
RNAcentral lists this ribosomal RNA (253 nucleotides) under uncultured bacterium. RNAcentral's name for it is "partial 16S ribosomal RNA". It matches the Rfam family "Bacterial small subunit ribosomal RNA", at positions 57 to 305 of the family's 1533-position model. The record is from RNAcentral.